CGAUAACCGUCGCCUUCAAAAGCCCCCUCUUCAAGGAUAAAACAAUACGACCUACUUGAUCGUCAUAUCUGAUUCCGAUCAAACCUUGGAAGGUGAUGUGCAGAGUGUCUGGAUCCUCUGUGAUUUCAACUGCUAAUUCCACUCUCAUGGCAAUUGUAAUUGUCGAGGUGUGCACAAAUUUCUUGUCGUUGCCAAUAUCAUGCAUGCUCUUGUAGAAACCCAAUAAAGGGGGUUUUGUAGAAAUAUUUAAAGGUCGUUCGAUUCUUGACUCACGGCUUUGUUGUUGUUAUUGUUCGAUUCUUUCCAAACAGAAGUGUAUCGGUAAGAAAGAGUUCAUGCUUAGCUUAAAAGUUGUGCCUGUUUAUUAGGGUUUCGAAACAGUUCUACAAUCCAUUCCCAUUGUUAAUUAUGACCGUGAAAGAUGUUGAAGACGGAAGAGCUGCCGUUUCAAGAAACCAAGAGGUCCUAAAGAGAAACUAGUCUUUACCGUGAAAAAUUAUGAUCUGGGAGGUCAUGAAUUCAUUGGUUAGAACUCUCCUAAUCAUGCUUUAUCUUCUCCUAAUCUUAUCAGUUACUCUUUCAUGUGUUCUCUGGUUAUUGAAUUGGAAAAGCAAAAUAAGAUGCUGCCAAACAAAUGAUCACACUUUUUAUCUGUGAGUCUUCUCAGUUACACUUGAAAGGGGAACACACAAAUGUUCAAUCAAUCAAUGUUGAUUCAUUUAUUGUUAGAUAGAUCAUGUUUGUCAGCAUUCACCUUCUAAGGCUUACUUUUCAAUAAGCUGGAGCAAGGCGGCAAUUUCAUGUGUUUUUUGAGUUUAUGCCAAAUGUGCUAUGAUCAAGAAAGCCAUAUUAGAAACAACCUUUACAGGUAAAAAUACAGAAGUGAUUUCAU
Molecule: non-coding RNA, 892 nt
Organism: Musa acuminata subsp. malaccensis (wild Malaysian banana)
Lineage: Eukaryota; Viridiplantae; Streptophyta; Magnoliopsida; Zingiberales; Musaceae
Source: RefSeq, a predicted model, not a curated record